GUAAAAAAUGUGGUGUUUGUAGCUUUAUAAUAAAUUUCAUUAUUAUACUUUCAACUACUAUUCAACCUUGAAUCAACGUUGAAUGGAUGUUGAAACUUCAACGUUGAAAUGACAACGUUAAUUCAAAUUUUCAAAAUCAAACAUAAAUUUGACAUUGUUUCAACGUUGAGAAACAACCUUGUUUCAACGUUGAAUCAACGUUGAGUGCCUGCUGGG
This 216-nucleotide long non-coding RNA is filed under the name Mytilus galloprovincialis (Mediterranean mussel). Lineage: Eukaryota; Metazoa; Mollusca; Bivalvia; Mytilida; Mytilidae. The record is from RNAcentral.